RNAcentral lists this ribosomal RNA (492 nucleotides) under Clostridia bacterium. RNAcentral describes it as "partial 23S ribosomal RNA". It matches the Rfam family "Bacterial large subunit ribosomal RNA", at positions 1 to 485 of the family's 2925-position model. The record is from RNAcentral. Lineage: Bacteria; Bacillati; Bacillota; Clostridia.
GAUCAAGCGAACAAGGGCGUAUGGCGGAUGCCUUGGCACUAGACGCCGAUGAAGGACGCGAUAAGCUGCGAAAAGCUACGGGGAGUCGCAAAUAGACUGUGAUCCGUAGGUGUCCGAAUGAGGGAACUCACCAAUGUUAAUCCAUUGGUAUCCAUACAUAAAUUCAUAGUGUAUGGAAGGGAACCUGGGGAACUGAACCAUCUAAGUACCCAGAGGAAAAGAAAGUAAAAAAACGAUUACCUGAGUAGUGGCGAGCGAAAGGGUAAGAGCCCAAACCUAGUAUAGUAAUAUAUUAGGGGUUAGGACCUACAAUAAAGUUGAAUAUAUAAAUGUAAUUGAAUAUGUUUGGAAAGGCGAACCAAAGAAGGUAAAAGUCCUGUAGAUGAAAUAUUUAUAUAACGAUGAGUAGGAAUCCAGAGUAGCACCGAGCACGUGGAAUUCGGUGUGAAGGAAGGAGGACCAUCUCCUAAGGCUAAAUACGAUCUAGUGACC